RNAcentral lists this non-coding RNA (21 nucleotides) under Caenorhabditis elegans. The record is from RNAcentral. Lineage: Eukaryota; Metazoa; Nematoda; Chromadorea; Rhabditida; Rhabditidae.
UCAGUCUAUUUUAAUCAUCCU